UACGUAGGGUGCAAGCGUUGCUCGGAAUCAUUGGGCGUAAAGAGCGUGUAGGUGGCUAGAUACGUCGGGUGUGAAAUCCCUCGGCUCAACCGAGGAAGUGCAUUCGAAACUAUCUAGCUCGAGGAUGGCAGAGGAAGGUGGAAUUCCUAGUGUAGAGGUGAAAUUCGUAGAUAUUAGGAGGAAUACCGGUGGCGAAGGCGGCCUUCUGGACCAUUCCUGACACUGAGACGCGAAAGCGUGGGUAGCAAACAGG
RNAcentral lists this ribosomal RNA (253 nucleotides) under uncultured bacterium. RNAcentral's name for it is "partial 16S ribosomal RNA". It matches the Rfam family "Bacterial small subunit ribosomal RNA", at positions 524 to 776 of the family's 1533-position model. The record is from RNAcentral.